GCCAGCAGCUAGCUCUCUGCAACUCCCACAUGGUCUCCUGCUAAAGCUAAGCAGGGCUGCACCCGGUCAGUACCUGGAUGGGGGACCACAUGGGAAAGCCAUGUUGCUGCUGGAA
Danio rerio (zebrafish) is the source of this 115-nucleotide ribosomal RNA. NCBI's taxonomy places the organism in Eukaryota, Metazoa, Chordata, Actinopteri, Cypriniformes, Danionidae. The record is from Ensembl.